GGCAAGAUGGCCGAGCGGUCUAUGGCGUGUGACUCAAGUUCUCAUCCUCGUAAGAGGGCGUGGGUUCAAAUCCCACUCUUGUCA
Molecule: transfer RNA, 84 nt
Filed under: Suillus luteus UH-Slu-Lm8-n1
Lineage: Eukaryota; Fungi; Basidiomycota; Agaricomycetes; Boletales; Suillaceae
Description: tRNA-Leu (CAA) (tRNA-Leu-CAA-1-1, tRNA-Leu-CAA-1-2)
Rfam family: tRNA
About the family: Transfer RNA (tRNA) molecules are approximately 80 nucleotides in length. Their secondary structure includes four short double-helical elements and three loops (D, anti-codon, and T loops).
Source: RNAcentral